AGGAGCCGUAUGCGGUAGUGCCGCACGUACGGAUCUGUGGAGGGGGUGCUGGGUGACUGGCAUUCCUACUCUGAC
RNAcentral lists this unclassified non-coding RNA (75 nucleotides) under Variovorax sp. HW608. The record is from RNAcentral. Lineage: Bacteria; Pseudomonadati; Pseudomonadota; Betaproteobacteria; Burkholderiales; Comamonadaceae.